This is a long non-coding RNA of Arabidopsis thaliana (thale cress), 345 nucleotides long. RefSeq annotates it as other RNA. The transcript has a single exon. The record is from RefSeq. NCBI's taxonomy places the organism in Eukaryota, Viridiplantae, Streptophyta, Magnoliopsida, Brassicales, Brassicaceae.
CUACCGCUACUUUAAUAUUUCACACUUCCCCCAAGGUUAUCCAAAAAUAUAAUACUAGUACUAGUUAAAAAGAAAAAUUCAAUUAGUGAGUGAUGACCCAUCUCUAAUUGUUCCUUAAUUACAAGUUCACAACAUCAAAAACUCCCCCCAAGAAUUAAGGAGCUGGCGCGUGUACCCACGCGAUAUCAAACGCGUCCGUAAUUCAACAAAACUCUACGAGAUGCGUACGUUAGCCCAACCACCGUCAAGGCUACUCUACGCUUUCUCAUUUCUAAGCCGCCGCUGAUUAAAACGACAAAAAGGACACAACGGUAAUUAAAAAAAGAGUCUGUUUACCUGGGAUAA